Molecule: long non-coding RNA, 1187 nt
Filed under: Nicotiana tabacum (common tobacco)
Lineage: Eukaryota; Viridiplantae; Streptophyta; Magnoliopsida; Solanales; Solanaceae
Description: long non-coding RNA (NTAB_LNC014121)
Source: RNAcentral
AAUUAUAGAAAAUAUAGAAAUGAGCCCCAAAUAUCGGGGUGUCACUAAGUCAUGAGCGUUUAAAUCUAUGAACUAAGAAAUAAAACUGUCUAACUGUCAAUGUAGUCCAAAAGAAGAAAUGAUAAAAGGAGUAACAAGGUCCUGCGGACGCUAGCAGCUACCUUGCAGUCUCCAACGAUAGUCGGCCUGAACUCAACGAUCGCCGCGCUCUAACUCACCUGGAUCUGCACAUAAAGUGCAGGGUGUAGCAUGAGUACAACCGACUAAGUAGUAACAUAAAUAACUAAUGAACUGAGCAGUAGUGACGAGCUAAGCAGAAUAAUCCAAUUAUUAUUUCCACAAUUAAGUACAAACAGGAGUAGACAUGUAAUUUCAUAAAUCAGUAAGACUAAAAGAAAAAUUAACAGUUAAAUGCAGCAACAGCAAAAGUAAAUGCAACCUCACAGCAAUGUCACUCCAUCACUCAGUACUCGCACUCAGCACUCAACGCUCAACACUCUGCGCUCACUGGGGGGGGAGGGGGGUGUACAGACUCCGGAGGGGCUCCCAAAGCCCAAGCGCUAAGCACGGACAACUCACGUGCCAUCAUAUUAAUACCAGGAUCUGCACGGUCAACUCACGUGCUACGCGGACAACUCACGCGCUAUGGUAUUAAUAUCCUCACAACCAGGCCCUCGGCCUCACUCAAUCAUGUACCUCACUAGCCUCAGCCUCACCAUCAUCAACAAAUAAGGGAACACAACCCACAUCAAGUAUCACAGCAUAUUAGCAAAUAAUAGAGACUGAGGUAAAUAUGUACAAUAAUUUCUAUGACUAAGUACAAAUAAUGUGAGCAUGAAUAAAGCCAAAGCAUGAUCUCUAACAUGAAGGCAGACAAGUUCAACAACAAGUAACUACGUAAACACAGAUGAUGGCCAUGAGGCCUCAUGGGACGGACCAAGUCUCAAUCCCUCGAGGUAUACACCCACACGCAUGUCACCUAGCGUGGUUAUCACCUCUAAACAGUCACACGAUAUCAAAUUCUCUGGGUUUAUACCCUCAAAGGCAGAGUUAAAAUUGUUACUUACCUUAACAGCGUAAAAUUCUAUUCCGGGAUGCCCUCGUCUCUGAACUCGGUCUCUAAAAGCUCCGAAUCUAACCAAAAAUCAGAAUACUACUAUCAACAUAGUCUAAAAAUCAAAUUCCAC